UACGAAGGGGGCUAGCGUUGUUCGGAAUUACUGGGCGUAAAGCGCGCGCAGGCGGUUCGAUAAGUUGGGGGUGAAAUCCCCGGGCUCAACCCGGGAAUUGCCUUCAAGACUGUCGAGCUAGAGGACGAGAGAGGUGAGUGGAAUUCCCAGUGUAGAGGUGAAAUUCGUAGAUAUUCGGAAGAACACCAGUGGCGAAGGCGGCUCACUGGCCCGGUACUGACGCUGAGAUACGAAAGCGUGGGGAGCAAACAGG
RNAcentral lists this ribosomal RNA (253 nucleotides) under uncultured bacterium. Its description in RNAcentral is "partial 16S ribosomal RNA". It matches the Rfam family "Bacterial small subunit ribosomal RNA", at positions 524 to 776 of the family's 1533-position model. The record is from RNAcentral.